RNAcentral lists this ribosomal RNA (1395 nucleotides) under uncultured bacterium. RNAcentral's name for it is "bacterial SSU rRNA". It matches the Rfam family "Bacterial small subunit ribosomal RNA". The record is from RNAcentral.
AGUUUGAUCCUGGCUCAGGAUGAACGCUGGCGGCGUGCCUAACACAUGCAAGUCGAGCGAAGCACUUUGCUUUGAUUCUUUCGGGAGGAAAAGUAAUUUGACUGAGCGGCGGACGGGUGAGUAACGCGUGGGUAACCUGCCUCAUACAGGGGGAUAACAGUUAGAAAUGACUGCUAAUACCGCAUAAGACCACAGUACUGCAUGGUACAGUGGUAAAAACUCCGGUGGUAUGAGAUGGGCCCGCGUCUGAUUAGCUGGUUGGUGGGGUAACGGCCCACCAAGGCGACGAUCAGUAGCCGGCCUGAGAGGGUGAACGGCCACAUUGGGACUGAGACACGGCCCAAACUCCUACGGGAGGCAGCAGUGGGGGAUAUUGCACAAUGGGGGGAACCCUGAUGCAGCGACGCCGCGUGAGCGAUGAAGUAUUUCGGUAUGUAAAGCUCUAUCAGCAGGGAAGAGAAUGACGGUACCUGACCAAGAAGCCCCGGCUAAAUACGUGCCAGCAGCCGCGGUAAUACGUAUGGGGCAAGCGUUAUCCGGAUUUACUGGGUGUAAAGGGAGCGUAGGCGGCAGGGCAAGCCUGAUGUGAAAGCCCGGGGCUCAACCCCGGGACUGCAUUGGGAACUGCCCCGCUCGAGUGCCGGAGGGGCAGGCGGAAUUCCUAGUGUAGCGGUGAAAUGCGUAGAUAUUAGGAGGAACACCAGUGGCGAAGGCGGCCUGCUGGACGGUGUACUGACGCUGAGGCUCGAAAGCGUGGGGAGCAAACAGGAUUAGAUACCCUGGUAGUCCACGCCGUAAACGAUGAAUAUUAGGGUGUCGGGGAGCAAAAGUUCUUUGGGCCGGCAGCCAACCGCAGUAAGUAUUCCACCUGGGGAGACCGUUCCCAAGAAGAAAACUCAAAGGAAUGGACGGGGACCCCCACAAGCGGUGGAGCAUGUGGUUUAUUUGGAAGCAACGCGAAGACCCUUCCCAAGUCUUGACAUCCGGAUGACCGGAACUUAACCGUUCCUUCCCUUCGGGGCAUCCGAGACAGGUGGUGCAUGGUUGUCGUCAGCUCGUGCCGUGAGAUGUUGGGUUAAGUCCCGCAACGAGCGCAACCCUUAUCUUUAGUAGCCAGCGGAAGAAGCCGGCCACUCUAGAGAGACUGCCAGGGAUAACCUGGAGGAAGGUGGGGAGGACGUCAAAUCAUCAUGCCCCUUAUGAUUUGGGCUACACACGUGCUACAAUGGCGUAAACAAAGGGAAGCGAGCAUGCGAAUGUAAGCAAAUCUCAAAAAUAACGUCUCAGUUCGGAUUGUAGUCUGCAACUCGACUACAUGAAGCUGGAAUCGCUAGUAAUCGCGAAUCAGCAUGUCGCGGUGAAUACGUUCCCGGGUCUUGCACACACCGCCCGUCA